RNAcentral lists this ribosomal RNA (816 nucleotides) under 'Prunus armeniaca' phytoplasma. Its description in RNAcentral is "bacterial SSU rRNA". It matches the Rfam family "Bacterial small subunit ribosomal RNA", at positions 530 to 1359 of the family's 1533-position model. The record is from RNAcentral. Lineage: Bacteria; Bacillati; Mycoplasmatota; Mollicutes; Acholeplasmatales; Acholeplasmataceae.
GGGGGCAAGCGUUAUCCGGAUUUAUUGGGCGUAAAGGGUGUGUAGGCGGUUUAAUAAGUCUAUGGUAUAAGUUCAACGCUUAACGUUGUGAUGCUAUGGAAACUGUUUGACUAGAGUUGGAUAGAGGCAAGUGGAAUUCCAUGUGUAGCGGUAAAAUGCGUAAAUAUAUGGAGGAACACCAGUAGCGAAGGCGGCUUGCUGGGUCUUAACUGACGCUGAGGCACGAAAGCGUGGGGAGCAAACAGGAUUAGAUACCCUGGUAGUCCACGCCGUAAACGAUGAGUACUAAGUGUUGGGUUAAACCAGUGCUGAAGUUAACACAUUAAGUACUCCGCCUGAGUAGUACGUACGCAAGUAUGAAACUUAAAGGAAUUGACGGGACUCCGCACAAGCGGUGGAUCAUGUUGUUUAAUUCGAAGAUACACGAAAACCUUACCAGGUCUUGACAUACUCUGCAAAGCUAUAGAAAUAUAGUGGAGGUUAUCAGGGAUACAGGUGGUGCAUGGUUGUCGUCAGCUCGUGUCGUGAGAUGUUGGGUUAAGUCCCGCAACGAGCGCAACCCUUAUCGCUAGUUACCAUCAUUUAGUUGGGCACUUUAGUGAGACUGCCAAUGAUAAAUUGGAGGAAGGUGGGGAUUACGUCAAAUCAUCAUGCCCCUUAUGACCUGGGCUACAAACGUGAUACAAUGGCUGUUACAAAGAGUAGCUGAAGCGUGAGUUUUUAGCAAAUCUCAAAAAAACAGUCUCAGUUCGGAUUGAAGUCUGCAACUCGACUUCAUGAAGUCGGAAUCGCUAGUAAUCGCGAAUCAGCAUGUCG